GACGAACGCUGGCGGCGUGCUUAACACAUGCCAGUCGAACGGAAAGGCCCUGCUUGCCGGGUACUCGAGUGGCGAACGGGUGAGUAACACGUGGGUGAUCUGCCCUGCACUUCGGGAUAAGCCUGGGAAACUGGGUCUAAUACCGGAUAGGAGCCAUUUUUAGUGUGAUGGUUGGAAAGUUUUUUCGGUGUAGGAUGAGCUCGCGGCCUAUCAGCUUGUUGGUGGGGUAAUGGCCUACCAAGGCGGCGACGGGUAGCCGGCCUGAGAGGGUGGACGGCCACAUUGGGACUGAGAUACGGCCCAGACUCCUACGGGAGGCAGCAGUGGGGAAUAUUGCACAAUGGGCGCAAGCCUGAUGCAGCGACGCCGCGUGGGGGAUGACGGCCUUCGGGUUGUAAACUCCGUUCGCUAGGGACGAAGCUUUUUGUGACGGUACCUAGAUAAGAAGCACCGGCUAACUACGUG
RNAcentral lists this ribosomal RNA (465 nucleotides) under uncultured bacterium. Its description in RNAcentral is "partial 16S ribosomal RNA". It matches the Rfam family "Bacterial small subunit ribosomal RNA", at positions 28 to 507 of the family's 1533-position model. The record is from RNAcentral.